UAGGGAAUUUUCGUCACUGGGGGGAACCCUGAACGAGCAAUGCCGCGUGAGUGAGGAAGGUCUUCGGAUCGUAAAGCUCUGUUGUAAGAGAAAAACGACAUUCAUAGGGAAUGAUGAGUGAGUGAUGGUAUCUUACCAGAAAGUCACGGCUAACUACGUGCCAGCAGCCGCGGUAAUACGUAGGUGGCGAGCGUUAUCCGGAAUGAUUGGGCGUAAAGGGUGCGUAGGUGGCAGAACAAGUCUGGAGUAAAAGGUAUGGGCUCAACCCGUACUGGCUCUGGAAACUGUUCAGCUAGAGAACAGAAGAGGACGGCGGAACUCCAUGUGUAGAGGUAAAAUGCGUAGAUAUAUGGAAGAACACCGGGGGCGAAGGCGGCCGUCUGGUCUGUUGCUGACACUGAAGCAAGAAAGCGUGGGGGGAAAAUA
RNAcentral lists this ribosomal RNA (426 nucleotides) under uncultured bacterium. RNAcentral's name for it is "bacterial SSU rRNA". It matches the Rfam family "Bacterial small subunit ribosomal RNA", at positions 355 to 774 of the family's 1533-position model. The record is from RNAcentral.